CAAUAGCGUAUAUUAAAGUUGUUGUGGUUAAAAAGCUCGUAGUUGGAUUUCUGCCGAGGGCGACCGGUCCGCCCUCUGGGUGAGUAUCUGGCUCGGCCUGGGCAUUUUCUCGGGGAGCGUAGCUGCAGCAUGGAAUAAUAAGGUAGGGCCUCCAUUCUAUUUUGUUGGCUUCUAGAGCUGAGGUAAUGAUUAAUAGGGAUAGUCGGGGCAUUCGUAUUUUAUUGUCCUAGGUGAAGUUCUUGGAUUUGUUAAAGACGAACUACUGCGAAAGCGUUUGCCAAUGAUGUCGNCAUUG
RNAcentral lists this ribosomal RNA (295 nucleotides) under uncultured eukaryote. RNAcentral describes it as "partial 18S ribosomal RNA". It matches the Rfam family "Eukaryotic small subunit ribosomal RNA", at positions 592 to 975 of the family's 1831-position model. The record is from RNAcentral.